GACGAACGCUGGCGGCGUGCCUAACACAUGCAAGUCGAACGGGGUUGAGCCCUUCGGGACUCAACUUAGUGGCGAACGGGUGAGUAACGCGUGAGAAACCUGCCUUUCAGUGGGGGACAACAGUUGGAAACGACUGCUAAUACCGCAUAAUGUAUUUUGGGGGCAUCCCUUUAAUACCAAAGCUUUAUGUGCUGAAAGAUGGUCUCGCGUCUGAUUAGAUAGUUGGUGAGGUAACGGCUCACCAAGUCGACGAUCAGUAGCCGGUCUGAGAGGAUGAACGGCCACAUUGGGACUGAGAUACGGCCCAGACUCCUACGGAGGCAGCAGUGGGGAAUAUUGGGCAAUGGGGAAACCCUGACCCAGCAACGCCGCGUGAAGGAAG
This 382-nucleotide ribosomal RNA is filed under the name uncultured bacterium. RNAcentral describes it as "bacterial SSU rRNA". It matches the Rfam family "Bacterial small subunit ribosomal RNA", at positions 28 to 410 of the family's 1533-position model. The record is from RNAcentral.